CCUACGGGAGGCAGCAGUGGGGAAUAUUGCACAAUGGGGGAAACCCUGAUGCAGCAACGCCGCGUGAGUGAAGAAGUAUUUCGGUAUGUAAAGCUCUAUCAGCAGGGAAGAAAAUGAAGGUAACUGACUAAAAAGCCCCGGCUAACUAAGUGCCAGCAGCCGCGGUAAUACGUAGGGGGCGAGCGUUAUCCGGAUUUACUGGGUGGAAAGGGAGCGUAGACGGUUCUGCAAGUCUGAAGUGAAAGACCGGGGCUUAACCGGGGAACUGCUUUGGAAACUGUGUAGCUGGAGUGCUGGAGAGGCAAGCGGAAUUCCUAGUGUAGCGGUGAAAUGCGUAGAUAUUAGGAGGAACACCAGUGGCGAAGGCGGCUUGCUGGACAGUAACUGACGUUGAGGCUCGAAAGCGUGGGGAGCAAACAGGAUUAGAUACCCUUGUAGUC
RNAcentral lists this ribosomal RNA (440 nucleotides) under uncultured bacterium. RNAcentral's name for it is "partial 16S ribosomal RNA". It matches the Rfam family "Bacterial small subunit ribosomal RNA", at positions 338 to 795 of the family's 1533-position model. The record is from RNAcentral.